Molecule: ribosomal RNA, 254 nt
Filed under: uncultured bacterium
Lineage: Bacteria
Description: partial 16S ribosomal RNA
Rfam family: Bacterial small subunit ribosomal RNA
Source: RNAcentral
UACGUAGGGGGCGAGCGUUGUCCGGAUUCAUUGGGCGUAAAGAGCUCGUAGGCGGCUGAUCAAGUCGGGUGUGAAACCCUCCGGCUUAACCGGGGGCGUGCAUCUGAUACUGGUCUGGCUGGAGUCCGGUAGGGGACCAUGGAAUUCCUGGUGUAGCGGUGAAAUGCGCAGAUAUCAGGAGGAACACCGAUGGCGAAGGCAGUGGUCUGGGCCGGUACUGACGCUGAGGAGCGAAAGCGUGGGGAGCGAACAGG